GCGGGCUGCCCGACCCUGGGCGGGGCGCCGCCGGCCCGCAGCCCCGACGUUGCCUUCGGGGAGGCGGCGGACCGACGUCGUCCGAGUGGACGAGGAGAGGCCCGAAGAAACCCGCCGCACCGGCCCGGCGCCGCUGGCCCCCGUCAGCCCUCCCCGCUGCGCAGUCUACUUCCGCCGCUUUCAGCGCCGCCUCCGGCUCUCUGACCCUCCCCCUCCCCCCCCUCCGUGCUCCACGGGCCCUCCAUGACCCCGACCCCUGCGCUUGGAGGCCUCACCCAGGACCCACGCCCUUGGGCCACCACAGCGUUCCCACGGGGGCCCCUACAUCUAGAGUGCCUGCAUGCUGACCCCAAGGGCCCUGGCCACAACCCCCUCCCCAGAACGGCAGGCCCAGAACUGCUGGGCCCACUCCCUUGGGAGCCCUGGCCUGCAACGGGAAAAACGGAGGGUAAGGUUCCUACAGCGCCUGCCUCCCUUCUCAUUUUAAGCAAAAAUGGGUACGUUGAAGUGGGCACAGUGCUGCUCCUUCUCAGCUGGCUUCUCCCCGUUACCAGUUCGAACAUCAGGAAAAACAAAAUACUCCAUUUAAGUCGGUAUGUUUUCAGACUAUCAUUUUAUUAAAUACCGUAUCGCUUAGCU
Long non-coding RNA from Herpailurus yagouaroundi (jaguarundi), 639 nucleotides. RefSeq lists it as uncharacterized. NCBI's taxonomy places the organism in Eukaryota, Metazoa, Chordata, Mammalia, Carnivora, Felidae. The transcript has 2 exons. The record is from RefSeq and is a predicted model, not a curated record.